GAAAUGCGAUAAGUAAUGUGAAUUGCAGAAUUCAGUGAAUCAUCGAAUCUUUGAACGCACCUUGCACCCUUUGGUAUUCCGAAGGGUACGCCCGUUUGAGAGUCAUUGUAACCUCACUCCCGAAUUUUUUUGGGAUGUGGAAUUGGAUGCUGUCGUGUCACGACUCGUCUCGAAUGUCUCAGUGUAUCCCGCCAGUCGGCGUAACAGUGUGAUAAGUAUCUUCACUGGUAGCCUCUUCAGAGGCGCGCUAUCGGGUGGGCUCCUAUGCUUCCAACCGUCUUUGGACAAUGACCGACAAUUUGACCUCAAAUCGGGUGGGACUACCCGCUGAACUUAA
RNAcentral lists this unclassified non-coding RNA (337 nucleotides) under uncultured Sebacinales. Its description in RNAcentral is "sequence contains ITS1". The stretch from base 1 to 105 matches the Rfam family "5.8S ribosomal RNA", at positions 50 to 154 of the family's 154-position model. The record is from RNAcentral. Lineage: Eukaryota; Fungi; Basidiomycota; Agaricomycetes; Sebacinales.